UGUUUUCAGAGGUAUUCAACUCUGACCCUACGAGGUCCUGAUUCCUGCAGGUUUUCUGUUCUACCUGAUAAUAAUUGCCCCCACCUGGUGUCCCAGGUUAGAGGUGGAAUUAUGGGAGAAAAGCAGUGGAACUGGCUUCCAGGUCUCUACUGUAUAUAGGGCACACUACUUUAGACCUGAUCCCUAUGCGUCCUGGUCUAAAGUAGUGCACUAUAUAGGGAAUAGGGUGUCAUAGGGCUCUGGUCUAAAGUAGUGCACUAUAUAGGGAAUUGGGUGCCAUAGGGCUCUGGUCUAAAGUAGUGCACUAUAUAGGGAACAGGGCUCUGGUCUAAAGUAGUGCACUAUAUAGGGAACAGGGUACCAUAGGGCUCUGGUCUAAAGUAGUGCACUAUAUAGGAAAUAGGGUUCCAUAGGGCUCUGGUCUAAAGUAGUGCACUAUAUAGGGAAUAGGGUGCCAUAGGGCUCUGGUCUAAAGUAGUGUACUAUAUAGGGAAUAGGGUGCCAUAGGACUCUGGUCUAAAGUAGUUAGUUGGUUGGUUUUUAUUUUCCUAGUCCCUAUACUCUCCUAGUCCCUGUACUCUCCUAGUCCCUAUACUCUCCUAGUCCCUAUACUCUCCUAGUCCCUAUACUUUCCUAGUCCCUGUACUUCCCUGUAUUUUCCUAGUCCCUAUACUCUCCUAGUCCCUGUACUCUCCUAGUCCCUGUACUCUCCUAGUCCCUAUACUCUCCUAGUCCCUGUACUUUCCUAGUCCCUGUACUUUCCUGUACUUUCCUAGUCCCUGUACUUUCCUGUACUUUCCUGUACUUUCCUAGUCCCUGUACUUUCCUGUACUCUUCUAGUCCCUGUACUCUCCUAGUCCCUGUAUUUUCCUAGUCCCUAUACUUUCCUAGUCCCUGUACUUUCCUAGUCCCUGUACUUUCCUAGUCCCUGUACUUUCCUAGUCCCUGUAUUUCCCUGUACUUUCCUAGUCCCUGUACUUUCCUAGUCCCUGUACUUUCCUGUACUUUCCUAGUUCCUGUACUUUCCUAGUCCCUGUACUCUCCUAGUCCCUGUACUUACCUGUACUCUCCUAGUCCCUGUACUCUCCUAGUCCCUGUACUUUCCUGUACUUUCCUAGUUCCUAUACUUUCCUGUACUUUUCUAGUUCCUGUACUCUCCAAGUCACUAUACCUUCCUAGUUCCUGUAUUUUCCUGUACUUUCCUAGUUCCUUUACUCUCCUAGUCCCUGUACUUUCCUGUACUUUCCUAGUUCCUGUACUCUCCUAGUCCCUGUACUCUCCUAGUCCCUGUACUUUCCUAGUCCCUGUACUUUCCUGUAUUUUCCUAGUCCCUGUACUUUCCUGUACUCUCCUAGUCCCUGUACUCUCCUAGUCCCUGUACUUUCCUGUACUUUCCUAGUCCCUGUACUUUCCUAGUCCCUGUACUUUCCUGUAUUUUCCUAGUCCCUGUUUCUUUCCUGUACUCUCCUAGUCCCUAUACUCUCCUAGUCCCUAUACUCUCCUAGUCCCUGUACUCUCCUAGUCCCUGUACUCUCCUAGUCCCUGUACUCUCCUAGUCCCUGUACUCUCCUAGUCCCUGUUUCUUUCCUGUACUCUCCUAGUCCCUGUACUCUCCUAGUCCCUAUACUCUCCUAGUCCCUGUACUCUCCUAGUCCCUGUUUCUUUCCUGUACUCUCCUAGUCCCUAUACUCUCCUAGUCCUUGUACUCUCCUAGUCCCUGUACUCUCCUAGUCCCUAUACUCUCCUAGUCCCUGUACUCUCCUAGUCCCUGUUUCUUUCCUGUACUCUCCUAGUCCCUGUACUCUCCUAGUCCCUGUACUCUCCUAGUCCCUGUACUCUCCUAGUCCCUGUACUCUCCUAGUCCCUAUACUCUCCUAGUCCCUAUACUCUCCUAGUCCCUGUACUCUCCUAGUCCCUGUACUCUCCUAGUCCCUGUACUCUCCUAGUCCCUGUACUCUCCUAGUCCCUGUACUCUCCUAGUCCCUGUACUCUCCUAGUCCCUAUACUUGUCAUUAUCCGUAUCAUUGCAGUAAUGAAUUCUGUCUGGCCUGUGUAAUGACUCGUCAGCCCUCCCGGUGAGCCAAACUGGUUGAAAAGACCACCAGGCGGGUCCCAGAUCUGUUUGUGUUGUCUUGCCAACUCCAUUGCUGUCAUUGUCAAUGACGGCACAAACUGAUAGAUGUCUCCCAGGCCGAUGACAUGACGUUGUUGAGUUGAACCGAAUGCUGGUUGACACAUCCACUUCACUGCUACACAAUAGUUUAUUUCCACUUCCAUUGAUUUGAGCGCAUUGAUCAAUAACUCAGAGAUGAUCAAUUGAUCGUGUAAAAACCAGCAUAGUCAAAUGGAUGUAAAGGACAGUAUUGGGGAUAUACUACUUUGGGUACAAAUGUUUUAAAACUUUUAAUUUGAGCCAUUGGUUGUGUGCUGUUGAUUUUUAUUUUUUAUAUAAUUGAAGAAUGCCACAAAUGUUUGUGUAAUUGUAACAACAACAACAAAAAAGUUGUAUUUAAAAAAUAUAGAUGUGUCUACAGUGUCUUUCAUCUGUUUUUUGACAACUAAACAUAUAUGUGGCUGGAUUGCAGUAUUUGCUUUCAUUGGUUUUGCUUUACGAGAAACCUGCAUGUAAUGCAUAUAGUAACCACCAGGUGUCACUCUUGGUUUAGGAUAAAGGCUCACACAGCCAUUUACUACCCAGUACCCACCAGAUAUAAACUCAG
Oncorhynchus tshawytscha (Chinook salmon) is the source of this 2720-nucleotide long non-coding RNA. The record is from Ensembl. Lineage: Eukaryota; Metazoa; Chordata; Actinopteri; Salmoniformes; Salmonidae.